GGGGCGAUAGCUCAAUGGUAGAGCAGAAGCCUUUUAAGCUUUUGGUUCCGGGUUCGAAUCCCGGUCGCCCCACCA
This 75-nucleotide transfer RNA is filed under the name Opitutia bacterium Tous-C10FEB. Its description in RNAcentral is "Opitutae bacterium Tous-C10FEB tRNA-Lys". It matches the Rfam family "tRNA". From Rfam's summary of the family: Transfer RNA (tRNA) molecules are approximately 80 nucleotides in length. Their secondary structure includes four short double-helical elements and three loops (D, anti-codon, and T loops). RNAcentral also lists the same sequence under 2 other names. The record is from RNAcentral. Lineage: Bacteria; Pseudomonadati; Verrucomicrobiota; Opitutia.